Molecule: ribosomal RNA, 654 nt
Filed under: uncultured archaeon
Lineage: Archaea
Description: bacterial SSU rRNA
Rfam family: Archaeal small subunit ribosomal RNA
Source: RNAcentral
GCCUAAAGCGUCCGUAGCCGGCUCUGUAAGUUUUCGGUUAAAUCUGUACGCUCAACGUACAGGCUGCCGGAAAUACUGCAGAGCUAGGGAGUGGGAGAGGUAGACGGUACUCGGGAGGAAGUGGUAAAAUGCUUUGAUCUCUCGAUGACCACCUGUGGCGAAGGCGGUCUACCAGAACACGUCCGACGGUGAGGGAUGAAAGCUGGGGGAGCAAACCGGAUUAGAUACCCGGGUAGUCCCAGCUGUAAACUAUGCAAACUCAGUGAUGCAUUGGCUUGUGGCCAAUGCAGUGUUGCAGGGAAGCCGUUAAGUUUGCCGCCUGGGAAGUACGUACGCAAGUAUGAAACUUAAAGGAAUUGGCGGGGGAGCACCACAAGGGGUGAAGCCUGCGGUUCAAUUGGAGUCAACGCCAGAAAUCUUACCCGGAGAGACAGCAGAAUGAAGGUCAAGCUGAAGACUUUACCAGACAAGCUGAGAGGUGGUGCAUGGCCGUCGCCAGCUCGUGCCGUGAGAUGUCCUGUUAAGUCAGGUAACGAGCGAGAUCCCUGCCUCUAGUUGCCACCAUUACUCUCAGGAGUAGUGGGGCGAAUUAGCGGGACCGCCGCAGUUAAUGCGGAGGAAGGAAGGGGCCACGGCAGGUCAGUAUGCCCCGAA